RNAcentral lists this long non-coding RNA (345 nucleotides) under Carica papaya (papaya). RNAcentral describes it as "long non-coding RNA (CPAP_LNC007490)". Lineage: Eukaryota; Viridiplantae; Streptophyta; Magnoliopsida; Brassicales; Caricaceae. The record is from RNAcentral.
GAAUGAUGAUUUUCACACCUAAAAAUUUGUUAGUGCAAAAUAAAAAGAGAUUAAAAGGAAAAUAGGGGAAGAAAAGACGAAAAGGACGAACCUUUACCUCGUUUGCCUCAGUCUCCGACGUCUUGGGCCAUUUCCUCUUCCUCUUUCCUUUCGGCUCGGCUUCCACACUCUCCCGCCUCCACCCCUCUCUUCUUUUAUUUCCUCCCUCGCAGCGGUCGCUCUUUGGUUCCCUCUCUCUUCCUUGCUCGGCCACUCAUUUCUUUUCUUCUCCUUCCUCAUUUUUUCUCUCAUUUUCCUUCAUCUUUCCGACCUCCCUCUACCUUUCCUCUCAUUCUUUCUUCCUCU